GGUCAAGUGAAGAAGCGCAUACGGUGGAUGCCUUGGCAGUCAGAGGCGAUGAAAGACGUGGUAGCCUGCGAAAAGCUUCGGGGAGUCGGCAAACAGACUUUGAUCCGGAGAUGUCUGAAUGGGGGAACCCAGCCAUCAUAAGAUGGUUAUCUUACGCUGAAUACAUAGGCGUAAGAGGCGAACCAGGGGAACUGAAACAUCUAAGUACCCUGAGGAAAAGAAAUCAACCGAGAUUCCCUUAGUAGUGGCGAGCGAACGGGGACUAGCCCUUAAGUGGCUUUGAGAUUAGCGGAACGCUCUGGAAAGUGCGGCCAUAGUGGGUGAUAGCCCUGUACGCGAAAAUCUCUUAGUCAUGAAAUCGAGUAGGACGGAGCACGAGAAACUUUGUCUGAAUAUGGGGGGACCAUCCUCCAAGGCUAAAUACUACUGACUGACCGAUAGUGAACUAGUACCGUGAGGGAAAGGCGAAAAGAACCCCGGAGAGGGGAGUGAAAUAGAUCCUGAAACCGUAUGCGUACAAGCAGUGGGAGCCCACUUUGUUGGGUGACUGCGUACCUUUUGUAUAAUGGGUCAGCGACUUAUUUUCAGUGGCGAGCUUAACCGAAUAGGGGAGGCGUAGCGAAAGCGAGUCUUAAUAGGGCGUCUAGUCGCUGGGAAUAGACCCGAAACCGGGCGAUCUAUCCAUGGGCAGGUUGAAGGUUGGGUAACACUAACUGGAGGACCGAACCGACUACCGUUGAAAAGUUAGCGGAUGACCUGUGGAUCGGAGUGAAAGGCUAAUCAAGCUCGGAGAUAGCUGGUUCUCCUCGAAAGCUAUUUAGGUAGCGCCUCAUGUAUCACUGUAGGGGGUAGAGCACUGUUUCGGCUAGGGGGUCAUCCCGACUUACCAAACCGAUGCAAACUCCGAAUACCUACAAGUGCCGAGCAUGGGAGACACACGGCGGGUGCUAACGUCCGUCGUGAAAAGGGAAACAACCCAGACCGUCAGCUAAGGUCCCAAAGUUAUGGUUAAGUGGGAAACGAUGUGGGAAGGCUUAGACAGCUAGGAGGUUGGCUUAGAAGCAGCCACCCUUUAAAGAAAGCGUAAUAGCUCACUAGUCGAGUCGGCCUGCGCGGAAGAUGUAACGGGGCUCAAACCAUACACCGAAGCUACGGGUAUCACGUAAGUGAUGCGGUAGAGGAGCGUUCUGUAAGCCUGUGAAGGUGAGUUGAGAAGCUUGCUGGAGGUAUCAGAAGUGCGAAUGCUGACAUGAGUAACGACAAUGGGUGUGAAAAACACCCACGCCGAAAGACCAAGGUUUCCUGCGCAACGUUAAUCGACGCAGGGUUAGUCGGUCCCUAAGGCGAGGCUGAAAAGCGUAGUCGAUGGAAAACAGGUUAAUAUUCCUGUACUUCUGGUUAUUGCGAUGGAGGGACGGAGAAGGCUAGGCCAGCUUGGCGUUGGUUGUCCAAGUUUAAGGUGGUAGGCUGAGAUCUUAGGUAAAUCCGGGAUCUUAAGGCCGAGAGCUGAUGACGAGUGUUCUUUUAGAACACGAAGUGGUUGAUGCCAUGCUUCCAAGAAAAGCUUCUAAGCUUCAGGUAACCAGGAACCGUACCCCAAACCGACACAGGUGGUUGGGUAGAGAAUACCAAGGCGCUUGAGAGAACUCGGGUGAAGGAACUAGGCAAAAUGGCACCGUAACUUCGGGAGAAGGUGCGCCGGUGAGGGUGAAGGACUUGCUCCGUAAGCUCAUGCCGGUCGAAGAUACCAGGCCGCUGCGACUGUUUAUUAAAAACACAGCACUCUGCAAACACGAAAGUGGACGUAUAGGGUGUGACGCCUGCCCGGUGCCGGAAGGUUAAUUGAUGGGGUUAGCUAACGCGAAGCUCUUGAUCGAAGCCCCGGUAAACGGCGGCCGUAACUAUAACGGUCCUAAGGUAGCGAAAUUCCUUGUCGGGUAAGUUCCGACCUGCACGAAUGGCGUAACGAUGGCGGCGCUGUCUCCACCCGAGACUCAGUGAAAUUGAAAUCGCUGUGAAGAUGCAGUGUAUCCGCGGCUAGACGGAAAGACCCCGUGAACCUUUACUAUAGCUUUGCACUGGACUUUGAAUUUGCUUGUGUAGGAUAGGUGGGAGGCUUUGAAGCGUGGACGCCAGUCUGCGUGGAGCCAACCUUGAAAUACCACCCUGGCAACUUUGAGGUUCUAACUCAGGUCCGUUAUCCGGAUCGAGGACAGUGUAUGGUGGGUAGUUUGACUGGGGCGGUCUCCUCCUAAAGAGUAACGGAGGAGUACGAAGGUGCGCUCAGACCGGUCGGAAAUCGGUCGUAGAGUAUAAAGGCAAAAGCGCGCUUGACUGCGAGACAGACACGUCGAGCAGGUACGAAAGUAGGUCUUAGUGAUCCGGUGGUUCUGUAUGGAAGGGCCAUCGCUCAACGGAUAAAAGGUACUCCGGGGAUAACAGGCUGAUACCGCCCAAGAGUUCAUAUCGACGGCGGUGUUUGGCACCUCGAUGUCGGCUCAUCACAUCCUGGGGCUGAAGCCGGUCCCAAGGGUAUGGCUGUUCGCCAUUUAAAGUGGUACGCGAGCUGGGUUUAGAACGUCGUGAGACAGUUCGGUCCCUAUCUGCCGUGGACGUUUGAGAUUUGAGAGGGGCUGCUCCUAGUACGAGAGGACCGGAGUGGACGAACCUCUGGUGUUCCGGUUGUCACGCCAGUGGCAUUGCCGGGUAGCUAUGUUCGGAAUAGAUAACCGCUGAAAGCAUCUAAGCGGGAAACUAGCCUCAAGAUGAGAUCUCACUGGAACCUUGAGUUCCCUGAAGGGCCGUCGAAGACUACGACGUUGAUAGGUUGGGUGUGUAAGCGCUGUGAGGCGUUGAGCUAACCAAUACUAAUUGCCCGUGAGGCUUGACCAU
This 2892-nucleotide ribosomal RNA is filed under the name Pseudomonas trivialis. RNAcentral's name for it is "23S ribosomal RNA". It matches the Rfam family "Bacterial large subunit ribosomal RNA". The record is from RNAcentral. RNAcentral also lists the same sequence under 4 other names. Lineage: Bacteria; Pseudomonadati; Pseudomonadota; Gammaproteobacteria; Pseudomonadales; Pseudomonadaceae.